This 245-nucleotide ribosomal RNA is filed under the name uncultured bacterium. RNAcentral describes it as "partial 16S ribosomal RNA". It matches the Rfam family "Bacterial small subunit ribosomal RNA", at positions 524 to 768 of the family's 1533-position model. The record is from RNAcentral.
UACGUAGGGGGCAAGCGUUGUCCGGAUUUACUGGGUGUAAAGGGUGCUCAGGCGGGUUUGUAAGUCAGUGGUGAAAUCCCGGGGCUCAACUCCGGAACUGCCAUAGAUACUGCGAGCCUAGAGUACGGAAGAGGUUGAUGGAAUAUCUGGUGUAGCAGUGAAAUGCGUAGAUAUCAGAUAGAACACCAAUGGCGAAGGCAGUCAACUGGUCCGUUACUGACGCUAAAGCACGAAAGUGUGGGGAG